This 145-nucleotide small nucleolar RNA is filed under the name Dasypus novemcinctus (nine-banded armadillo). Lineage: Eukaryota; Metazoa; Chordata; Mammalia; Cingulata; Dasypodidae. The record is from RNAcentral.
AAUGCACAACUUACCAGUAAUCAGUAGUCAUUAAAAGGCCAGAGGUGCGAUGAACCCUCAAGCAUAGGUAGUGUGCUACGUGAUGGGCAAGUUUUUCACUAACAUUAAAGGAUCUCUGACCCAAUGAGGGGAAUUGACUACAGGU